GAGGAAUCCACCAGUCCCGGAAAUAUGAUUCCCUGAUUCAGGAUCAGGCCCGGGAACUGUCUUACCUACGGCAAAAAAUACGAGAAGGGAGAGGUGUUUGUUAUCUUCUCACCCAGCAUGCAAAAGAUACAGUAAAAUCUUUUGAGGAUCUCCUAAGGAGCAAUGACAUUGACUACUACCUGGGACAGAGCUUCCGGGAGCAACUG
This 206-nucleotide long non-coding RNA is filed under the name Homo sapiens (human). Its description in RNAcentral is "non-protein coding lnc-NBPF1-7:1". The record is from RNAcentral. Lineage: Eukaryota; Metazoa; Chordata; Mammalia; Primates; Hominidae.